CAAAUAUGUGUUCUUGGGCGGCGAAAUGUCUCCAACCCGUAGAGUACAACAGUUGGUCGGUAUUAUAAGACACUUUCGCUUCUCACAUCAACUAUAUCUUAAGGUCAAAGAGGGGGUCAAUCGGGUUCUAAUGAGUGGUUCUUAGGUUCAUGGUACAGAAGAAGGGUCAAACUACCACCAGGGUCAUGAGAGUACUUCUGGAAAUGCCCCAAACUCCUACGAAAGCCUUGGCAAUUAUGUGAACUUUGGAGACGGAAUGUUUAGUAAUACGGCCAACAAUUGUAACAGUGUGUGUGUGUGUGUGUGUGUGUGUGACCUGAACAAUGGGCUCUCUCUCAGAAGGACGAUUGCGCGAGAUAUGGUAGCUUUGAGAAUGGCGAUGACAAUAGAAGCAACGAUAAAAAAAAUGAUUUGGACGGCGAUAAUAGUGAUGAUAGUAAUGGCAAUAGUUUAGGUUAUAUGAAGAAGAUGGGAGCAUGAUUAUAAUAAGAGGGUGAGUGAGUGAGAAGGCAACAGGAGAGGAAGAACGAUGAAAUUGAUUGUGAUAGUGAUGAUAGUAAUGAUAAUGGUAAUAGUACGUUUUAUAUGAAGGAGAUUGAUUGAUGGAUAGUUUAUUGUUGCAAGUAAACAACAAAGGAGAAGGGAGGAGCAUGCCAUCCCAACCCCCAGGCAGUACAGAGUGUGAUUAUACAACUAAGGAUACGUGUGGAAGUAGCACCAGGAAGCUAAAAAGAUACAAUGGUAGGGGAUGGAAACAUGAUUAUAAUACGAGGGUGAUAAGAAUGAUUGAUUGUGGUUGUGAUAAUUAUAAUGAUAUUGGUAAUUGUACGUUUUAUAAGAAGGAGAUGGAAGCGUGAUUAUGAUACGAGCGUGAGGGAGAAAGCAACAGUAGAUGAAAAACGAUAAGAAUGAUUGAUUGUGGUUGUGAUAAUAGUAAUGAUAUUGGUAAUAGUACGUUUUAUAUGAAGGAGAUGGAAGCAUGGUUAAAAUACGAGCGUAAGGGAGAAAGCAACAGUAGAAUAAGACCGAUAAAAAUGAUUGUGAUUGUGGUGAUAAUAAUAUAUGGUGAUAAUAGUAAUGGAAAUAGUAAUGGUGAUAGUAUACGGAUUGUACGGAGAUGGAAGCAUGAUUGUAAUAAAAUGGUGUGGGAGAAAGCAAUGGGAGAGGAAGAACGAUAAAAAAUUGUGAUGGUGGUGAUAAUAGUAAUGGGAGCUUGAUUAUAAUUAGAGGGUUUCAUAUUAAAAGAAGUGGCUGAAUCAUUUGUUGUAAUUAGAAAACAGUGACAAGCUGACGAACUGUCGUACAAACGCGUUUUCAGAAACGUGUCGUGACUGAAAACGGUCAGGCGGGCGCGUGGAAAGACGUACGGGUAGACAGGCAGCUGCGGCACACCCAGACACACUUGAAGGCACGGUGUUCACGCUUCCCACCCCCACCCAAAACUUUCCCUCCGGUGUGGACUUUUCUCUCCAGCCUCCUCGCCAUUAUCUCUCACCA
Eriocheir sinensis (Chinese mitten crab) is the source of this 1497-nucleotide long non-coding RNA. RefSeq lists it as uncharacterized. NCBI's taxonomy places the organism in Eukaryota, Metazoa, Arthropoda, Malacostraca, Decapoda, Varunidae. The record is from RefSeq and is a predicted model, not a curated record. The transcript has 2 exons.